This 496-nucleotide ribosomal RNA is filed under the name uncultured bacterium. RNAcentral's name for it is "partial 16S ribosomal RNA". It matches the Rfam family "Bacterial small subunit ribosomal RNA", at positions 28 to 506 of the family's 1533-position model. The record is from RNAcentral.
GAUGAACGCUGGCGGCGUGCCUAAUACAUGCAAGUCGAGCGGACAGACGAGGAGCUUGCUCCUCUGACGUUAGCGGCGGACGGGUGAGUAACACGUGGAUAACCUACCUAUAAGACUGGGAUAACUUCGGGAAACCGGAGCUAAUACCGGAUAAUAUAUUGAACCGCAUGGUUCAAUAGUGAAAGACGGUUUUGCUGUCACUUAUAGAUGGAUCCGCGCCGCAUUAGCUAGUUGGUAAGGUAACGGCUUACCAAGGCAACGAUGCGUAGCCGACCUGAGAGGGUGAUCGGCCACACUGGAACUGAGACACGGUCCAGACUCCUACGGGAGGCAGCAGUAGGGAAUCUUCCGCAAUGGGCGAAAGCCUGACGGAGCAACGCCGCGUGAGUGAUGAAGGUCUUCGGAUCGUAAAACUCUGUUAUUAGGGAAGAACAAAUGUGUAAGUAACUAUGCACGUCUUGACGGCACCUAAUCAGAAAGCCACGGCUAACUACGU